UCCUGACAUUAGAAAAAAGCUUCACAAAUUGGAAUCUGGCCCUCAAACCCCACAACAGGAGUAAUCAACCUUGCCUUCAAGGUGUUCAACAAUAGAGAAGAGUCAGCCAAGUGGCAAUGUAUUUCUGAGCUGCAACUGCUUGCCUCCACUGUGAGACAAACCUCAGCCACGCCUUCGGCACAGAAAAACUUCAGAACAACCAAACCACAGCCUCCAGGCACUCCUUCAGGACCUCCUCUCCCAGGACCUUGCCUCAAAUGCCACAAAACUGGCCACUGGGCCAAGGAAUGCCCGCAGCCCAUGAUUCCUCCUAAGCCAUGUCCCACCUGUGCAGGACCCCACUGGAAAUCAGACCACCCAACUAAUAUUGCAGCCACUUCUAGGGCUCCUGGAGCUCCAGCUCAAAGCUCUCUGGCUGACUCCUUCCCAGAUCUCCCCAGUUUAGGGGCUGAAGACUGACACUGCCCAAUCACCUCAGAAGACCCCUGGACCAUCACGGAUGCUGAGCUUCAGGUACCAUGUAAACAUGCCACCAUCUGCCAUUGAAUAAGGAGAAGCUUCCUUUCUUAGUAAAAAUUCUACCAAGGGUGACCUUUCGCUUAGAGUUCCAGGGCUGCAUGUUAAUGUUUAUCUGGGACCAUAAGCAGUUAUCAUCAAGGCUAAGCUGCCACCCAGAAGAGCUGCCAAAACCAAGUCGGGCACUCAUCGAAUCUCUGCCUCUUUCUCUCUCUCUGGCUCUGCUCCACCAGGGACCCCCUGAAUUCUCAAAUGGCCUCCAAGAUAUCUGCUCCCUAUGGAUACGGUGGGAUAUCACUCCAGGGAUUAUGUUCUUUCACAUGGAAAAAAGGAUUUUGGGAGAUAUAAUUAAAGGGAGAGUAUUUAGAUAGGAUGGACCUUAUCACAUGAGCCCUUUAAAUCUGGGUCUAGAAGUCAGUGGCAGAAGAGCAGAGAUUCAAAGUAGCAGAGAUGUACCCCUCCUGGCUUUGAAGGAGCAACUGAUAUGCUGUGGAGAGGACCACACGGCAGGCAACGGCAGGUCUUCUCUAACAGCAGAGAGAGGACCACACGGCAGGCAACGGCAGGUCUUCUCUAACAGCAGAGAACCAUCCAGCUCAACAGCCAGAGAGAAAACAAGAACAUCAGUCCUACAGCCACAGGGAACUACAUUCUGUCAAUGUUCUUAAUGGGCGUGGAAGAAAGCCAUGAGGUCAUAAGAUAGCCCCAAAGAACCCCUUGAGGUCUUCCAAGUAAACUGGGCAAAGAAUUCAGUGAUGCUGUGCCAAAAUUCUGACCCACGGAAUCUGUGAGGUCAUACAGUUGCAUUUUCAGCUGCUAAUUCGGGUCAUUUGUUACGCAGCAAUAGAAAACUAAUGCAAACCCUUUCACUUUGAGGCAGAAAGGACCUAAGUUGACCCUGAUUAUUCUUGACUCCCAGUGUUUAUAUGGUUGUGUAAUCCUCUCUCCUUAAGUGUGAGUGUGGUCUGAGACUUGUUUCUAAUGGUAGAAUA
This is a long non-coding RNA of Gorilla gorilla gorilla (western lowland gorilla), 1508 nucleotides long. RefSeq lists it as uncharacterized. Lineage: Eukaryota; Metazoa; Chordata; Mammalia; Primates; Hominidae. The record is from RefSeq and is a predicted model, not a curated record. The transcript is spliced from 3 exons.